GACAGAGGGUGCAACCGUUGUUCGGAUUUACUGGGCGUAAAGCGCGUGUAGGCGGCUUCGCAAGUUGGAUGUGAAAUCCCACGGCUCAACCGUGGACGUGCAUCCAAAACUGCGUCGCUGGAGUCUCGGAGAGGAAGGUGGAAUGCUUGGUGUAGAGGUGAAAUUCGUAGAUAUCAAGCAGAACACCUGCGGCGAAGGCGGCCUUCUGGACGAUGACUGACGCUGAGACGCGAAAGCGUGGGGAGCAAACAGG
Molecule: ribosomal RNA, 253 nt
Filed under: uncultured bacterium
Lineage: Bacteria
Description: partial 16S ribosomal RNA
Rfam family: Bacterial small subunit ribosomal RNA
Source: RNAcentral